This 95-nucleotide ribosomal RNA is filed under the name Penicillium swiecickii. RNAcentral describes it as "partial 5.8S ribosomal RNA". The stretch from base 1 to 74 matches the Rfam family "5.8S ribosomal RNA", at positions 81 to 154 of the family's 154-position model. From Rfam's summary of the family: 5.8S ribosomal RNA (5.8S rRNA) is a component of the large subunit of the eukaryotic ribosome. It is transcribed by RNA polymerase I as part of the 45S precursor that also contains 18S and 28S rRNA. The record is from RNAcentral. Lineage: Eukaryota; Fungi; Ascomycota; Eurotiomycetes; Eurotiales; Aspergillaceae.
UCAGUGAAUCAUCGAGUCUUUGAACGCACAUUGCGCCCUCUGGUAUUCCGGAGGGCAUGCCUGUCCGAGCGUCAUUGCUGCCCUCAAGCACGGCU